CCUACGGGUGGCAGCAGUGAGGAAUAUUGGUCAAUGGGCGCGAGCCUGAACCAGCCAAGUAGCGUGAAGGAUGACUGCCCUACGGGUUGUAAACUUCUUUUAUAAAGUAAUAAAGUGAGGCACGUGUGCCUUUUUUUAUGUACUUUAUUAAUAAAGAUCGGCUAACUCCGCGCCAGCAGCCGCGGUAAUACGGAGGAUCCGAGCGUUCUCCGGAUUUAUUGGGUUUAAAGGAAGCGUAGAUGGGUUGUUAAGUCAGUUGUGAAAGUUUGCGGCUCAACCGUAAAAGUGAAAUUGUUACUGGCAGACUUGAGUACAGAUGAGGUAGGCGGAAUUCGUGGUGUAGCGGUGAAAUGAUUAGAUAGCACGAAGAACUCCGAUUGCGAAGGCAGCCUACUAAACUGCCACUGACAUUGAUGCUCGAAAGUGUGGGUAUCAAACAGGAUUAGAUACCCGAGUAGUC
This 460-nucleotide ribosomal RNA is filed under the name uncultured bacterium. RNAcentral's name for it is "partial 16S ribosomal RNA". It matches the Rfam family "Bacterial small subunit ribosomal RNA", at positions 338 to 795 of the family's 1533-position model. The record is from RNAcentral.